AUCUUUGCACAGCGGCAGCAUCAUAGCCAGUAAGUUUAUCCAAGACACGGUUAUUGUUAACUGAAAACUUUCUCCAGUACCGUGUCAAUUUGAAACAUAGUUAGCAUCAGUUGACAAUUUUGAAACUGAACA
RNAcentral lists this small nuclear RNA (132 nucleotides) under Chinchilla lanigera (long-tailed chinchilla). RNAcentral describes it as "U4 spliceosomal RNA (ENSCLAG00000020647.1)". Lineage: Eukaryota; Metazoa; Chordata; Mammalia; Rodentia; Chinchillidae. The record is from RNAcentral.